GGUAAAAUGGCUGAGCAAAGCAAUAGACUGUAAAUCUAAGAACAGAGGUUUGAUUCCUCUUUUUACCA
This is a non-coding RNA of Capra hircus (goat), 68 nucleotides long. NCBI's taxonomy places the organism in Eukaryota, Metazoa, Chordata, Mammalia, Artiodactyla, Bovidae. The record is from Ensembl.